CCUACGGGAGGCAGCAGUAGGGAAUCUUCCACAAUGGGCGAAAGCCUGAUGGAGCAACGCCGCGUGGGUGAAGAAGGUCUUCGGAUCGUAAAACUCUGUUGUUAGAGAAGAAAGUGCGUGAGAGUAACUGUUCACGUUUCGACGGUAUCUAACCAGAAAGCCACGGCUAACUACGUGCCAGCAGCCGCGGUAAUCCGUAGGUGGCAAGCGUUGUCCGGAUUUAUUGGGCGUAAAGGGAACGCAGGCGGUCUUUUAAGUCUGAUGUGAAAGCCUUCGGCUUAACCGGGGUAGUGCAUUGGAAACUGGGAGACUUGAGUGCAGAAGAGGAGAGUGGAACUCCAUGUGUAGCGGUGAAAUGCGUAGAUAUAUGGAAGAACACCAGUGGCGAAGGCGGCUCUCUGGUCUGUAACUGACGCUGAGGUUCGAAAGCGUGGGUAGCAAACAGGAUUAGAUACCCGUGUAGUC
RNAcentral lists this ribosomal RNA (465 nucleotides) under uncultured bacterium. Its description in RNAcentral is "partial 16S ribosomal RNA". It matches the Rfam family "Bacterial small subunit ribosomal RNA", at positions 338 to 795 of the family's 1533-position model. The record is from RNAcentral.